RNAcentral lists this long non-coding RNA (1352 nucleotides) under Physcomitrium patens. Its description in RNAcentral is "long non-coding RNA (PPAT_LNC014693)". The record is from RNAcentral. Lineage: Eukaryota; Viridiplantae; Streptophyta; Bryopsida; Funariales; Funariaceae.
AUGUUAUUCACUUCUUCAAGAUUUGCUUUCCAAAAUAAUGUAAUCCAUCACUAUCAUUGCAUAUUAACUUAUUACUGGAGUGUGUAUGUUAUGUCCACAUUUAAGCCUCAACUGUGUACUCUAUUGCAUUUUUUGCAUUGAUCACAACAUAAAACGUAAGAAGCAAGUAUGUGAACUCAAAGAACAUGAUAUAAAACAUUGAGGCAAAGUAACACAUGAUAAUUUCAAAUGUAGAUCAAAUGGAAUUAAUGCCUUUUCUGUGGUAAAAAGCCCAUAAAAGGUAAAGUUCAUUAUUUUCAUGAAAAAACACCUUCUGCACAAAACUAAUAAAAUCAUGUCAGCGUUAGCAUUAUACAGCUAAAGCCUUAACUUGCAAGUAGUACAAAUAAAGAAACAAAUUGUAUAUCAAAAAGAUUUUUCAAUGAACGACUUAUUAGCACUUAAAUAAUAAAAAAACUAAAAUAAAAAUAUUUAAUCUAGACGUUGAAGAGAAAAUUCUCAUCUCACCAGAUUAAUAUGUAAAUGGGAAAAGUUCUAUUACUAUCUUAAUGCUAUCAUCCAUUAAGAUAAGAAAAUUCUUAGCUAAGAUUGAAAUGCCUAAUGUUUUGGUACCAACAUGCCAUCCUUUAGUGGUUUAGUGCCCAUGCAAAUCACAUUUUGUAAAAGUCGAAUUUUAUGUUAAAAACUAAGUAUUUAUAAAAAAUCAUCAAUACAGAAUACCAGUUUUUUUUGGUGCCAGUGUUAUCUACACAUAAAAUGCAACGUAUCACAAAUUAUUUAUAUUUGUCAUCUAUAAUAUUAGAUACGAAAAUUUAAGCUCAAUAAAGAAAACUUCUUAGAUGGUCUAUAGGUCAAAUAAUUGUACUAACAUUUUAAGAUAAGAAUAUAUUUAUUAUGAUAUAGACAUGAACUGAUUACGAUUACAUUUGACUUUUCUUGCAUGCACUUUCAAUAUUCUAUUUUCUUUUGAUAUUUUAUUGAUAGACUUGUAAAAUUUGAAAUUGAUAUUAAAUUGGCUUUUAUCUAGAUGAUUCAAAUGAAAUCUGUAUGUUAAAGAAUUAUUAUGAGUAUUAUUAUUAUUCUUAUUAUUACUUUAAAGCUCUUGGUGGUUGCGGCUUAGUUUAAUUCAAAGUUUUUACAGAGUUUUUUAUUUAUUUAUUUAUUUUUUUGCACAUUUUUUCUCAGAUCGUGGUUCACCAUACAUCCAAAAGAUUAAAUAUUAAUAAAUUUACUAUUUUUCUGAAAAAUUAAAAAUAUAUAAAAAAAUGAAACAAUUUCUUUGGAGAAAUUUACCUAAUUUUCUAACUGUACUUUAUUUGAUACAUAAAAUUCAGGGAAACUUUAUUUCGGUU